RNAcentral lists this ribosomal RNA (982 nucleotides) under human gut metagenome. RNAcentral's name for it is "bacterial LSU rRNA". It matches the Rfam family "Bacterial large subunit ribosomal RNA", at positions 1942 to 2925 of the family's 2925-position model. The record is from RNAcentral.
AUAACGGUCCUAAGGUAGCGAAAUUCCUUGUCGGGUAAGUUCCGACCCGCACGAAAGGUGUAACGAUUUGGGCACUGUCUCAACGAGGGACCCGGUGAAAUUGAAGUACCUGUGAAGAUGCAGGUUACCCGCGACUGGACAGAAAGACCCCAUGGAGCUUUACUGUAACCUGACAUUGGGUUCUGAUACAUCACGUACAGGAUAGGUGGGAGGCAUGGAAGCGAGGACGCUAGUCUUCGUGGAGCCGCCGUUGGGAUACCACCCUUGAUGUAUCGGAAUUCUAACCGUAGGAGUAACGAAACUCGGGACAGUGUCAGGCGGGCAGUUUGACUGGGGCGGUCGCCUCCCAAAGAGUAACGGAGGCGCCCAAAGGUUCCCUCAGCGCGGCCGGAAAUCGCGCGAAGAGUGUAAAGGCAGAAGGGAGCUUGACUGAGAGCCAAACACGGCGAUCAGGUACGAAAGUAGGGCUUAGUGAUCCGGUGGCAUCCAAGUGGAAGGGCCAUCGCUCAACGGAUAAAAGCUACCCUGGGGAUAACAGGCUAAUCUCUCCCAAGAGUCCAUAUCGACGGGGAGGUUUGGCACCUCGAUGUCGGCUCAUCACAUCCUGGGGCUGAAGUCGGUCCCAAGGGUUGGGCUGUUCGCCCAUUAAAGUGGUACGUGAGCUGGGUUCAGAACGUCGUGAGACAGUUCGGUCCCUAUCCAUCGCGGGCGCAAGAGAUUUGAAGGGGGCUGCUCCUAGUACGAGAGGACCGGAGUGGACGAACCAAUGGUGUACCAAUUAUCUCGCCAGAGGUAUAGUUGGGUAGCUACGUUCGGAAAGGAUAAACGCUGAAAGCAUCUAAGCGUGAAACCAGCCUUAAGAUGAGAUCUCUCAUAGAGUAAUCUAGUAAGACACCUUGGAGAAGACGAGGUUGAUAGGUCGGGAGUGUAAGUACAGUAAUGUAUUCAGCGGACCGAUACUAAUAUGUCGAGGGCUUGACUU